Molecule: RNA transcript, 1302 nt
Organism: Xenopus laevis (African clawed frog)
Lineage: Eukaryota; Metazoa; Chordata; Amphibia; Anura; Pipidae
Gene: btg5.3.L
Gene name: B-cell translocation gene 5, gene 3 L homeolog
Exons: 5
Source: RefSeq, a predicted model, not a curated record
AGCGGCCAAUCAGGUGCCACCGACCCCUUCCCUCUCCGGCCAAUAUAAACGUGCCGCCCACUCCUAAACGCAUGUACUCUCUACAGCCGAACCCGGGGCUCCAGCUACUACUGCUCCAUCGCGUCUCACCGGGAUUGGAAGGGUUUCAUCUGCCUCCUGUUAAAAUGAGCAUCUUUGUUCCACCGGAGAUGAUUGAAGAGAUAGUGGCCGGAGUGAAUUACCUGAAGGCUCUGGUGAAUCGGUGCUACCGGCUGGAUCCCAUGUUGGUGGAGGAAUUUGGGGAGAGUCUGACGGAGAUUCUGUGCAGGAGAUACACGAGACACUGGUACCCAGAGAAACCCAUGAAGGGACAGGCAUUCAGGUGUAUCCGGAUCAACCAGCAUCAGAAGGAUGAAAGUAUCCUGGAAUCGUGUGCCCUUUGUGGCAUCACAUACGCAGAUUUGGCACUGCCCAAAGAGCUGACGCUAUGGAUCGACCCCUAUGAAGUUUGCUGCCGGUUGCGCGAGUAUAGUCACCCAUACACCGUGGCGAGCUUUGAUCCCAGGGACAAUCGCACAAUGUCAACGAGUUUGGAGAGCGAGAUCCCAACUGCCUCAUUAGAUAGUGGUAUCGAGUGCACCAGCCCCAGCUCAUCAUUCGCAUCUUCGAUAGGCGACGUGGGAGAAGAUAUGGACAGCGGGGUCGACAGCAGCGCAGAGGAACUGACCCACCUUUACUCACAUCAGACGGCUUGGACCCCCGGUGGGAUUUGCCAAACUCCGACCACUAGACCCUUAUACAAAACCUCUUCCCCACUAUGGAUCCCCACUUGGAGAGCAGCAGACUAUAUGUACAACGCUGUGAGCGGAACUACUGGAUGUAGUUAUAUUCCCUAGAGAAGCCACAGAAGAGGGGCGCCACCUGCAGGACACACUGGGAGGAAGAAUGGAGGCACAUUGGGGCCAAUAGUAAGAAGAGAAGGAGUUUCGUUUACAAAGAAGAAAAUGAAAAGAUUGACCAUUUUAAUUGGCUUCCAUCAGGAAGAAGAGUUGAUAUAUUGCAUAAGCAAACCUGUUCCGAUGGGCAAACACGUCUGCCGUUACUGCCGCUGAUGGGACUUAGGAGAGAUGAAAGACUAUUCAUUCACAUACAGCAAAUAUUAACAUACGUGUACUUCUGCCACGUGUAUAGAAUUCAGACAUGUAUAGAGGAGUUCUUCUGCUGGACAGGAGCCUAAGUGUAUUUAUUUCUUAAUUUUAUAUAUUUUUAUAGAAAACAUUGGUAUUUUAAUAUCAAUAAACUUUUAUGAUUUUUGAAAAGCAA